GAUGAACGCUGGCGGCGUGCCUAAUACAUGCAAGUCGAGCGAACAGAUGAGGAGCUUGCUCCUCUGACGUUAGCGGCGGACGGGUGAGUAACACGUGGAUAACCUACCUAUAAGACUGGGAUAACUUCGGGAAACCGGAGCUAAUACCGGAUAAUAUAUUGAACCGCAUGGUUCAAUAGUGAAAGACGGUUUUGCUGUCACUUAUAGAUGGAUCCGCGCCGCAUUAGCUAGUUGGUAAGGUAACGGCUUACCAAGGCAACGAUGCGUAGCCGACCUGAGAGGGUGAUCGGCCACACUGGAACUGAGACACGGUCCAGACUCCUACGGGAGGCAGCAGUAGGGAAUCUUCCGCAAUGGGCGAAAGCCUGACGGAGCAACGCCGCGUGAGUGAUGAAGGUCUUCGGACCGUAAAACUCUGUUAUUAGGGAAGAACAAAUGUGCAAGUAACUAUGCACGUCUUGACGGUACCUAAUCAGAAAGCCACGGCUAACUACGUG
RNAcentral lists this ribosomal RNA (497 nucleotides) under uncultured bacterium. Its description in RNAcentral is "partial 16S ribosomal RNA". It matches the Rfam family "Bacterial small subunit ribosomal RNA", at positions 28 to 507 of the family's 1533-position model. The record is from RNAcentral.